This is a long non-coding RNA of Gossypium raimondii (Peruvian cotton), 562 nucleotides long. RefSeq lists it as uncharacterized. The record is from RefSeq and is a predicted model, not a curated record. The transcript is spliced from 2 exons. Lineage: Eukaryota; Viridiplantae; Streptophyta; Magnoliopsida; Malvales; Malvaceae.
GAAGGUGGGAAGAAGGUUCCACUUAAAAGAACUGUGAAGAACAAGUCUUUCGUAGUCCUAUAUAUUUGUGUGUGUUUUCGAUGUACUCCAUGAAGUUUUUUCAAGCACAAGCUGGUAAAUGCUUUGCUCUAAAGAAUGGUCUGUGAAGAAGGUUUUAGGGUUGGAGAUAUAUUUCAAUGGCGUCGACUCUUUCCAAAAGCAAAGGGUUAUCUUCUCAAAAAUGGAUAACAUCAUGGGUCAGGUGAGAUAGUCUUUCCGGAAAAUAAGAGGGUUUCUGUAAAAAUAUAUAUAGUUCCAAAAAAUAGGUUUAGAUAAAAAAAUUAGAUUCAUUUUCUAAACGAGCCUUGGGUAAGUUUUUUUGUCCAGGCUCGGCUCGGCUAGAAUUUGCAAAGUUGUUUUGCCAUUAUUUUGUUGUUAUUUUGUUAUUUUAUUACUAUUAUUUUGUUGUUAUUAUUUGUAUAUUGUAUAACUCUUGUCUUAUUAUUAGUUUUGUUACUAUUUUAGAGACAUUUGCUUGUUAAGUUGCACAUAUCUUAGUGUUAUUUAAGCUUUUUUUUUAAUU